RNAcentral lists this ribosomal RNA (253 nucleotides) under uncultured bacterium. RNAcentral's name for it is "partial 16S ribosomal RNA". It matches the Rfam family "Bacterial small subunit ribosomal RNA", at positions 524 to 776 of the family's 1533-position model. The record is from RNAcentral.
UACAGAGGGUGCAAGCGUUAAUCGGAAUUACUGGGCGUAAAGCGCACGUAGGCGGUUUUUUAAGUCAGAUGUGAAAGCCCCGGGCUCAACCUGGGAAUUGCAUUGGAAACUAGCGGGCUGGAGUGUGGCAGAGGGGGGUGGAAUUCCAGGUGUAGCAGUGAAAUGCGUAGAUAUCUGGAGGAACACCGAUGGCGAAGGCAGCCCCCUGGGCUAACACUGACGCUCAUGCACGAAAGCGUGGGGAGCAAACAGG